This 94-nucleotide ribosomal RNA is filed under the name Aegilops tauschii subsp. strangulata. The record is from RNAcentral. Lineage: Eukaryota; Viridiplantae; Streptophyta; Magnoliopsida; Poales; Poaceae.
GGAUGCGAUCAUACCAGCACUAAAGCACCGGAUCCCAUCAGAACUCCGAAGUUAAGCGUGCAUAUGUUUCGCACGUUUUACUAUUUUGCACGUU